RNAcentral lists this ribosomal RNA (374 nucleotides) under uncultured organism. Its description in RNAcentral is "partial 16S ribosomal RNA". It matches the Rfam family "Bacterial small subunit ribosomal RNA", at positions 527 to 896 of the family's 1533-position model. The record is from RNAcentral.
GUAGGUGGCAAGCGUUGUCCGGAAUUAUUGGGCGUAAAGCGCGCGCAGGUGGUUCUUUAAGUCUGAUGUGAAAGCCCCCGGCUCAACCGGGGAGGGUCAUUGGAAACUGGGGAACUUGAGUGCAGGAGAGGAAAGUGGAAUUCCACGUGUAGCGGUGAAAUGCGUAGAUAUGUGGAGGAACACCAGUGGCGAAGGCGACUUUCUGGCCUGUAACUGACACUGAGGCGCGAAAGCGCGGGGAGCAAACAGGGAUUAGAUACCCUGGUAGUCCACGCCGUAAACGAUGAGUGCUAAGUGUUGGGGGGGUUUCCCGCCCCUCAGUGCUGCAGCUAACGCAUUAAGCACUCCGCCUGGGGAGUACGGUCGCAAGACUG